AAUUUUUCUCAUUUUAAUCACAGAAACCUGAGACUUCAUUUUUAUCUGUGACCCUAAUCAUCUUCCAUAGACUUCAUGGCCGUCUCGAUCCAGGCGUGGGGGAAGGCCGUGUGCUCUCCGGCAAAGUGAACUCUGCCUUCGCUCCUGAAGAGCUCCGCUGCGAACUCCAGGUGCUGGACUCCGGUGCAGAGCGACCUGACCCUGUCACCGUGCAACAGGACCAGAUCUCUGAGAGCCAGCUCCUUCAGCUCUUCGUCGCUGGCGCCG
Gambusia affinis (western mosquitofish) is the source of this 267-nucleotide long non-coding RNA. RefSeq lists it as uncharacterized. The record is from RefSeq and is a predicted model, not a curated record. Lineage: Eukaryota; Metazoa; Chordata; Actinopteri; Cyprinodontiformes; Poeciliidae. The transcript is spliced from 3 exons.